This 1371-nucleotide ribosomal RNA is filed under the name metagenome. Its description in RNAcentral is "bacterial LSU rRNA". It matches the Rfam family "Bacterial large subunit ribosomal RNA", at positions 1563 to 2925 of the family's 2925-position model. The record is from RNAcentral.
UUCGAGACGAGCGGCUUAAUGUCGCGAAGCAAUCGGAAGUGGUUCCAAGAAAAGCCUCUAAGCUUCAGUCUAACGAGACCGUACCGCAAACCGACACAGGUGGGCGAGAUGAGUAUUCUAAGGCGCUUGAGAGAACUCGGGAGAAGGAACACGGCAAAUUGGUACCGUAACUUCGGGAUAAGGUACGCCCUUGUAGUUUGACCACUUUACCGUGGAAGGACGAAAGGGUUGCAAUAAACUGGUGGCUGCGACUGUUUAAUAAAAACACAGCACUCUGCAAACACGAAAGUGGACGUAUAGGGUGUGACGCCUGCCCGGUGCUGGAAGAUUAAACGAUGGGGUGCAAGCUCUUGAUUGAAGUCCCAGUAAACGGCGGCCGUAACUAUAACGGUCCUAAGGUAGCGAAAUUCCUUGUCGGGUAAGUUCCGACCUGCACGAAUGGCGUAACGAUGGCCACACUGUCUCCUCCCGAGACUCAGCGAAGUUGAAAUGUUUGUGAUGAUGCAUCUACCCGCGGCUAGACGGAAAGACCCCAUGAACCUUUACUGUAGCUUUGCAUUGGACUUUGAACCAAUCUGUGUAGGAUAGGUGGGAGGCUUUGAAGCGGGGACGCCAGUCCUUGUGGAGCCAACCUUGAAAUACCACCCUGGUUUGUUUGAGGUUCUAACCUUGGUCCGUUAUCCGGAUCGGGGACAGUGCAUGGUAGGCAGUUUGACUGGGGCGGUCUCCUCCCAAAGUGUAACGGAGGAGUUCGAAGGUACGCUAGGUACGGUCGGACAUCGUGCUAAUAGUGCAAUGGCAUAAGCGUGCUUAACUGCGAGACUGACAAGUCGAGCAGGUACGAAAGUAGGACAUAGUGAUCCGGUGGUUCUGUAUGGAAGGGCCAUCGCUCAACGGAUAAAAGGUACUCUGGGGAUAACAGGCUGAUUCCUCCCAAGAGUUCAUAUCGACGGGGGAGUUUGGCACCUCGAUGUCGGCUCAUCACAUCCUGGGGCUGUAGCCGGUCCCAAGGGUAUGGCUGUUCGCCAUUUAAAGUGGUACGUGAGCUGGGUUUAAAACGUCGUGAGACAGUUUGGUCCCUAUCUGCCGUGGGCGUUGGAAAUUUGAAGGGGGCUGCUCCUAGUACGAGAGGACCGGAGUGGACGAACCUCUGGUGUACCGGUUGUCACGCCAGUGGCAUUGCCGGGUAGCUAAGUUCGGAAGAGAUAACCGCUGAAAGCAUCUAAGCGGGAAACUUGCCUUGAGAUGAGAUUUCCCGGAGCUUUAAGCUCCUUGAAGGGUCGUUCGAGACCAGGACGUUGAUAGGCUGGGUGUGGAAGUGCAGUAAUGCAUUAAGCUAACCAGUACUAAUUGCCCGUACGGCUUGUCCCG